GAAAUGUUUACCCAAUCCACAGGGGAGGCAGCGAAAUGAAGUUGAAACAGGCCCAUCCCUGAGGGAAACAGGACCCAUCUGGAUGCCGAAGUGCCUCUGCCCCGGCAACGCUGGUGGUGGUGGCGAUGGGGGUGGGGAGCUUGAAGAAGACAGGGAAAGAUGAGUCUCUUCCAGUUUUCACACGCUUCAGGAUCCAGUCGCAGGCUGAGCGAAGCAAAACUCCCAGGGAAACGUCUUCCCUGUGGGAUAGGGAGCGAGGUAAGGAAGCGCUGGUGAGAAUAGGAAAUGCUACCUGUGCGGGCCCUUGGCGCUCCCUUCCCGCCACCCGCGGCUUCACAGUAACUUUAACGCCAGUUCCCAUCAGCCAAAGAGAAGGUGCGCGGAAGUCCAAGGACGCAGGCAGAGGCACGGCUUGCCCCCGAACUCCCACCCCUCAGAAGCCCCAAGCCUGCUCCCGCCCACCGCCGAAGCCAGUCCUUCUCCUUUGCUCUUCUCCUGGCGGAAGGAUGCGCGUCUCCUAGUCUCCCUGAAGAUGGGGCGAGGGACAUCCGAGAGAGCCAUAGGUCAAGUCGUUUCUGCAGCUUAUCCAGAUAGUAACAUCUGUGUCCUCUCUCUUCCCGGCCAGCUGUGGUCCGGCAUGGACCCUCUUCUACUCAGAUUCAAACCAGCCUCCCAUGGAAACUGGGACAGUUCUGUUUGCAAAGGGCGGGCUGCAGCCUCCGCAGCUGCCCAGACUUCUCAGAACCAGCAAGAGCCAGGUUGCGGUGGUUUGGAGCCCAGCGCCGAUAAUAAAUCUCCAUCCUGAAGCCUUUGACUGCCUCCGCGGGGAAUUGAAGCACAGCCUUUCUGAGCGCCCACUGGCAGCCCCGCCGCAUUGCCAAGCCUUGACUCCAGGGCUCUGGCAGACGGCCUUUCUGGACCUGUCUUUUUUCUUCACUUUUUUCCCUCCCCCAACCUCUCAUCUCACCUCUCCUUGAGCAUUCACAUUUCUAUUUCCAGCCAACUGUUUUUAAAUCCUGGGGGAGUUCAGAGAAGCCUUUAAAGGAUUUUGCAAUCUACCAGUGCGCCUCUCCCCUUGAACUUGGAGUACUGAGGAGGUGGAACAACAGGUUCCAGAGCUGGGCACCCACGCUUCUCAGUGAAAGAAAGUGCCUGCACAGCUCAUCGUGCAGCAAGAAACAACAGGUGCAAAAGGCAAAGGCCACUUUGGAACCAUUUGGACCAAAGAACACGGCUCAGUGUAACAAAAGCGCCCACAGACUUGGCACGCCCGCGCUAUUCUGCCUGCGAGAUGGGCCUGGAAUCAGACCACAGCCUCGGAGUCUACGGCUGCCGUUCCAGGUGGUCCCACCUACUCCUUCUCUCAACCGAGACGAAAGGCAGCUGGGGAGGGCAUCGCAUGAAGAGAUGGGUCGUGUCCAAUUCAUUUUUACUAGGUGCUGACAAGUCACUGCGAAAGUCUGGAAAUGUGUAGCACAGCAAAAACACACGGGUCACAAUGCACUGGUGAAUGAUUACCAGAGGAGAAAUUCAUUACAGGCUGCUCCUGGCUCCCAUCACAUAAGGAAGUCUUACAUUAACAAGAUGGAAGGUCCCCCGCGGUCCCCUCCCCAGCCCAGCCCCCACUGCUGCCGCCUGCCACCCCACUUUUUCAAUUUGUGUUGCAUGGUGGGAGCAGAACCCAAAGGCGGGGGAAGUUUAUUCAGCUAUACUAAUCAAAAAGGGGGGCAUGGUGGCAGCCAAAGCCAAUGGAAGCAGAUUCGACCUAUAUGCCACAUGAAAUUCUCGCCUUGCAAUCUGAACCAGGUAUGACCACUGUAGUCUGGCACUGGUGGCGUUAAAUGUCUAUGGCUUUAAAACAAAAUGCCAUGUUUUUUAAUCUGUUCAUGGAAUUUGCUUCCAUCCUGGAUGCGUGUGGUUCCCCAUAGAUGUGUCCAGUUCUUGUGUCAGUUGGCCCCCAGGUUUUCCUGUGUUUCUAACCUUUCCUAACAUAGACACAGACAGAUGUAGAUUCUCUUGGGUGCCAGCCCAGGAGCCAUGCUGGAGACUGUGGGAGGCGAAGGUGAAUGAGACGUGCUGGCUUUGGAGCCACUCUGGCCCCCAAAGUGCUGGGGUCCUGGGAACAAGGAGUCUCCACUUUGUGGUGGCGAAGAGGACGUUAUAGAUCCAGUGGCCUUUAAGUCCUUACUAGUCCAUGUCACAUACCGUCAUUGCCUCGUUCCUCUUUCUCAUCUCUUCUCCAAUGACCACUUCCCACGUUCAGGAAUCACAGGCCACAAGCAGAAGGUUAGCAAAGAGUCAAAAGCUUGCAGACAGAUGGGUCAAUAGCUCUUUAAUGAGAUUUCUGUUCCGUCAAGAUGCCACUCACAUGCAGGGGGGUCAGCCAGCUGGAUCUGCAUUUAAAGUCAAAUGCAAAGCCAGGUGGAGACAGCCGGGUUCGACCUGGGAUGGGACUGUCUGUGGGUACCUUCUGCCGGAGAGCAAGAAGCUCAGCCCCUUGGCCUCCCCCUUGCCCCUCACCACUCAGAGGCGCGGUCAAGUUCUUGUUGCAAAUGUUAACCUAGAGGGGGUGAGGAGCCCCAGCCAAUACGAUGAUAAAUAUUAAACUGCCCUGCCAGGACCUGGACGGAAAGCUGCCAUUUCAUCUUGCAGCUUUCUCUGGGCUUAAGGAAAAGAGAACCCACCUCUCACGGAAGCGCCCGGAGAGACAUGCCCUCGGACUCCUUAGUGCUGGGGAAACCUUCAAAACUAUUCAAUUUGUCUCAGCCCCAUCCAGCUUUAAUGUCAGAGUCUACAUUUUCUCCUCUCCUCCUUUUUCAAAGCAGCCAAAAAAGAAAAUGUCACUGCAUUUGGGGCCGAUUCCAAAGCCAGGCUCACACGGAGGUUCUGUUUCAUUCUGUGCAGCUCUGGUGUUUUAAUGUCCUGUGGAGUCUUCAGGGGCUACACCUCCACACCCACCAUUCCUGGGUUCAUUUGGCAUCUUUAUGUCCCCUUUCUCUUAUAUGAUCCUCAUGUGCCCUCUUCUAAAGCCCCACCUUAGAAUUCGCAAAGCUCGCUCUGUGACUCUAGCCCCUGCUAAGAGGACGUCAUGUUCAAUUGAGGGGUGGGGGUGGGGAGGGGAGCUUGCCGCCACCCCCUCAACAUCCUGAAGGGGAUUUGGAGGUUGAAUAGCUGAUGCGGAUAAAUGUCCCCUGUGCUGCCUUUUAGCAAAGAGUCAAUUUGGGGACCACAUUCCUCAAAUUUGUGCGAAACGCACAGGAUCGUCCCAAGCUGUGGCAGUUUGGUUGGGAACAGUCUAUGCAGCUCCUCUCCCCUGUACGCCCUAAAGAGACUCUUUAAGCUGUGAAGGGCAGGUGGCAGUUCUGAUGAAGAUGACAGUCAGAGCACAUCCCUGACAGCCCCUGGCUCACCCAGGAGUGGGGAGCUGCUGCACUGAUUGAUACCUGGGGGCGAGGCUGUCAGCAGGGAGGACACAGGAGGGAGAUAAGGGACUCAAUCAGUGUCAGACACGUCCUGACACACAGCGCCGUAAAUCACUUUGGGGAAAGAUCCCCAGCUGCCAAGAGCGGAGAAGGGCGAGCAGGUAAUAGAAAAACAGGGCCACAAGCAGCUGUGUGGCUCUGGGCUGGACCUGGCACCCGGCCUUGGCUCAGGAUGGAAAUGUCCAAAACUCAGAACUCCAUCCACCUGUCCUCAGCCAAAGAGGAGACGCAGCCCUGAGUGAAUUGCAGUGGGUGAAUAUAAUCCAGAGUGAAUUUCGGAGCAUGAAUGAUGUCUCAGUAACGCUGCUAUAAAUAUAGAUAUUCCAACCAGGAGGCCAGGCCGAUUCAGUGGAAAUUCUCCAUUCCCCACCCCCACCCCGCUCCAUGCAGGAAGGAGGAAGAGACCACUGCGGAUGCUCUCACUCUGUCCUUGCCCCCGCCCCCUCCACGCCUGGAGUGAGAAGCAGCACACAGUGAGCUGGGAGGAAAACAGGGCUUCAAGGCUCAGCAUUUUGAUGAGAAAAGAUUUUUUUUUUCCAAUUCCAGGCAGCCCAGGACUGUACUUCGGCAACCCCCAACCACACUGUAGAUGUGAUUAGCUGGCCAAACCCAUUUUAGAGAUUGUCUUUCAACACAUCUUAAUUAGACACUUAAAAAUAAUAACCUUUUUUUUUUAAUCUAUCCAGGGGACAGAGAUUCCUAAGUUGGAAAUAAUGAAGGGAUUAGUGAUUAAUUAAUUGCUGGCAGGUGUGGGGAGAAACCAUCUACAGCUUCUUUGCCUGUUCCCCCUUUCUCUCUUAAGAUCAUUCUUUCUUAUUUUAAUUAGCUCUUGCCACCCCAGCACUUCUGUUAUCAUAUAUUCAAAUAAACUAAACAAAUAGAGUGUACUGAGACCAGAGUAGUGGAUGUGCCGCUUUUUUUGGAGUUGCAGCCUUGUUUUCUCCCAGUGGAGUCUCAGAGCACCUGGAAGCUUUCCCUGGCAGCAGAAUUGGACUCCAAAGUGCCUUUUUAGCAUCUAGAUAAUCUUCCUAUCAGAUGCCGAGAGCAUGGCUUGACUGAAGCAAGGAGCGGUAAGCCCCUGGGGGUUUGUGGUUCUCUGGUGGGGAACAGCGGCGGUAACACAGCAACGCAGUGGACCUGCCCCACCCACUUGCCUCACCAUUCACUUCUGUGUGUCUGUGCUGCAUGAGUGCACACCAGUGGGUGCAGCAUCCAGCACGUUAGAAGGGCCAAGACCCAGUGGCUGCUAUGCGCUUCUGUUUGCCAGCAUCUCUCUGGGCUCCGCAGGACAGCUGCCAUCAUUUACCGCUCAUACUGAGUCAACGAAGUCUAACGCAACGACACGCAUCCAUGACCUCAAACCCAAGCCAUGGCCAGAGGACAGGUAGCAGGCCGGACAUGUGCCCAGGUACAAGGCCCCCAGCACCAGCCUCUCAGGGAAUGUGGGCUUCAGAGGAAGCUCUGUUCUCUCCAAAAGGAAGGCUGCUCAGAAAGGCUAUACGUCCUACUAUGUGGGGCUGUUUCCUGAAGGACUGGGCACUCAUCUCUAACUCCCAGAGGGGGUUUUGUAGAUACAGGUCCGGAAUGGAGACUGAGGUACUGUCCGCUUCAAAAGAACUUAUGAGCUUCAGGACAUGACUCUGGUUGGAGGGGCGGAGGGCCUCAGAUGUCUUCUCAAAAGUAGGCAAAUUGUUGAGCCAAGACCUUAGAUUUAUUUAGAAAUAAUGAUUCAGAGAAAUAAAGAAGGAAUGGAUGGGGAGUUCUAAACAUGGGUCUCUGGUGGCCACUAUAUCCUUCAGUCCAAACUAUUUGUCUUCAGAGAAAGGCAAAGACAGAAGUGGUUUGCGGUGACAGAUGGAGCUCAGGUGAUUCUGCGUCAAGCAUCUCUGUAACAGGGAGUUGAAAGAAUCUUCCUCUGUCCAGAACACAAUUGGGCUAAUUUGGAAGUAAAGGCUGCCCACCUUCAUUUGUGUCAGUGGGGCUAUGCAAUCUUUCAUGCCAUCAAGUCGAAUGAAUGCUAGGUUCACCCUUGCUUAAGACCCACAGUAAUGUUCGGUGGGGCCUGCACCCCCUUUUUUUGGAAACAUUUCUUCCAUUUCUGACAACUUGACAGCUCUUGGGAGCAGCUCUCUCAAGGCUUCCCACAAGCUCUCUAAGAGAUGUAAAAGGUUGAAGUUGUUAAGAGGACCGAUGAGGAAUUACUUCCAGGAGUACCAAUAAAUCAAGAAAAUAAUCCAGAGGCACACAAAGUCAAGGUCAGAGGCAGAUGCUGGCAUUCCUUCGUUGAGAAAAGAAGACUCCAGGACUCAAUUCGAACUGGGGGUAGAAAUAUUAUGAAAGUCAAACCGAAUCCCAACAUUCCCUUGGGAAUUUUUCCCCUUCUGAAUUGCCUAGGACCUCAGGAACCAAGUAUCUCUGUGAGAAAACUGUACAUAGACAUGUACCAUCUAUAUUGUCUUGCAUUUAUCCUCCAUAAAUUCUGACAAAUACUUUGAUGGAAAAGCCAAUUUCAUAUCUAUCUUUCCUUCCCAGCACCUAGAACACUACAAAGCAAAGUAGGUCCUUGAUGUAUAUUUGCUGAAAUGAUGAGUGAAUGGAUGAAUGAAUGAAUGACUCACCAGUCAACUGAUGGACUACCAUAAUUCUUAAGUUAUACAAGUAAUACCUCAUUAUGACAAUCCAGCCCCUCCCUUCAACUAACAAAAUAUCCAAAUGAUUUUCAUUCUGUUGACACUUUGUGAUAAUUGCUAGAGAAUCUUUUCCCAGUAGGCAGAAGCUGGAGAUGAAACAAAACAAAUAUUAAAUUUCUUCAUCAGGAACUGGCAAGUGAAAACAAAAUGUCUUGAAUAUAGUAAAAGAGGAACAUUUUGCAGAUCAGCUUAAUAUAUUGCCCUUGAAGGCCUAAAUGUAUUUGUGUUAUAGUGUCAAGUAACUACUCAAAAAAUGCUUCAAAACUUGUUUGGCUUGUUCAAAUUUAAAAUACUAAGAGAAAAAAGAGGUUUGGCUGAUUUUUAUAAAUUCAAUAUCCAAGUAGUGGGAAAGGAAUUAAGACAGCUGGGAUAUAUGUAGCUAUGAAUUUAGCAGAAGAAUAAUCAUCAGGUAAGCAAAAAUCACUCCUCUGCCACAUCUGGAGGAACCAGUUGUAGAAGGAAAGGUGUGACUUGGUUACCAAAAGGACAUUUUCUGAUCUUUAAUUAAGAUUUUUAAAAAUCUUAAC
Phacochoerus africanus (Common warthog) is the source of this 6699-nucleotide long non-coding RNA. RefSeq lists it as uncharacterized. NCBI's taxonomy places the organism in Eukaryota, Metazoa, Chordata, Mammalia, Artiodactyla, Suidae. The record is from RefSeq and is a predicted model, not a curated record. The transcript is spliced from 3 exons.